This is a non-coding RNA of Meleagris gallopavo (turkey), 740 nucleotides long. The record is from RefSeq and is a predicted model, not a curated record. NCBI's taxonomy places the organism in Eukaryota, Metazoa, Chordata, Aves, Galliformes, Phasianidae.
GAUCACUGUAUGACUGCAUGACCUAUGCAACUGAAAAAGUAACACCAUAAUAUUGCCCUGAGCUGACUUUUUAAAAUUUUAUUACCAUUUUUUCUUAUUGCCUAGGAUAGCGUGGAAGACAACAACACUGAUAUGAUGGUGGGCAAAUGUAUUUUGACAUCAGCAAGAAUAUCAACCCAGUGUCUACAGGUUGUUAAGAUUUUCUGGAGAUUUUCUUGCAGAGUAAUGCUGAAGUAGCUUUCUGUUUGCCAUUUGCUGCAGAAUAACAUGCCUAGGGUAUCUUCAUAGAUCUGUAAAUACCAGAAGGGCAAAAAUGUCAUAUAACAACUUCCAAGAAAGCAGACUGGAGUUCUCAGACUCAGUUAAUGGCCAGCACUGGAUAUUCCUGAGAAAAGGCCUCGAUGACUUCAGAGAUGGCUUCUCUCCUUCAUUUGAAAACAUGAUUGUGUAUGGUAAAAAGCAACCUGUCUCAAUUAUCCUGAAAAGCAGCAUAGUAAAAUCUUCAUACACAGCUCCAUGGAACAAAAGCAAGAAGUCCAGCAAAAUACAGGUCUCUUUUUCCCAGAUCAGUCCUCAACAGCAAAGCAGGAGGAAUUACAUUGUGUGCAUAGAACACUGUCUGAAUCAGCAUCCUAAGUGCUCUAUUCGUGUUUGGAAAAAAGCAUCUUCCUAAAGGCAACGAUUUUUAUAAUCCUGAUGUAUGGAGCUGCUGAAUCACGGCCUGAACCUCUGAUUAAUCA